Molecule: unclassified non-coding RNA, 391 nt
Filed under: soil metagenome
Description: partial contains 5.8S ribosomal RNA, internal transcribed spacer 2, and large subunit ribosomal RNA
Rfam family: 5.8S ribosomal RNA (bases 1-122)
Source: RNAcentral
GAUGAAGAACGUAGCGAAAUGCGAUACUUGGUGUGAAUUGCAGAAUCCCGUGAACCAUCGAGUCUUUGAACGCAAGUUGCGCCCGAAGCCAUUAGGCCGAGGGCACGCCUGCCUGGGCGUCACACGUCGUUGCCCCCCCAUCUACUCCUUCGGGAUUGCGGGGGGCGGAUGAUGGCCUCUUGUGCGCCUCGUCGCGCGGUUGGCCUAAAUGCCAAGUCCUCGGCGACGCACGCCACGACAAUCGGUGGUUGCGAAACCUCGGUUGCCUGUCGUGUGCGGUCGUCGCGCAUCGAGGGCUCGAAAAAAUUGCCGGGCUUCGGCUCGACUUUCAACGCGACCCCAGGUCAGGCGGGGUUACCCGCUGAAUUUAAGCAUAUCAAUAAGCGGAGGA